This 18-nucleotide small nuclear RNA is filed under the name Arabidopsis thaliana (thale cress). RNAcentral's name for it is "snRNA_11478". The record is from RNAcentral. Lineage: Eukaryota; Viridiplantae; Streptophyta; Magnoliopsida; Brassicales; Brassicaceae.
CGUAAUUCUUUAAGGGAA